UUAAGCAAAUAAUUAGCAAAUGGGUCCACCCGAAAAAACCUUAGAAACCCACCAGUACGCACAAAACAAAACACACUUUACCCAUGCCCGCAUUAUCCAAUUUCGGGCAUCUCGCUGCCUUAAGUUUCUUCAUUUUGUUCUUGGAAUCAUUGUUCGGUAACUAGCCUCUCCUUUUCAAAUUUGAAUUUCAAAUUCAACGUCUUAAUUUCAAUAUUUCCAGAAGACUAGCAGUAUCUUCUGCUCUCUCUCUCUCUCUCAAAAAUACUUCCACUUGAUAUAAUUUCCUGGGAGCAGAUAAGGGCGACGACGAUGAUGAUGGAAAUGAUUAGUAUUACUUGGACGAUGAGCUCGCGCCGUGGAAUGUGAGCGAUAAGGUCGGGAGGCAGAGGAUGAGGAAGUUGGGGAAGAGGGCGUUUCCAUAGAUGCACAACUCCAAGAGGUCUCCUUAUCUGUUUGUGACGCCUGGUUGUGUGCGUGGAAAGCAUGGUCUGGGUUUGACUUGGCUUAGUUUAUCUGGUUGCUGUGUAAUUCACUUGUUAUCUUUCAUUGUCGAUGAAGAUCAUUAACUUUUAAUGGAAAACUUGAUUGGUUAUUAAAAAAAAAAAAAAAAAAAAGCACGGCCAGUCUGUAAAUACUGAAGGUUGAACGAAGAGCUCAGUAGAGAGGAAAUCAAUUCCUAGAAGUCCAAGAGAAGAUACAGAACAUCUCAAACGAGAUCUACGGAUCCACAGGGUAUACUUAUUUCAUCCAUGUUGGUUGUAGAUGAACGUGAUUUGUCUUUGAGAAAGCUUGAGGAGUUGCACAGAGAGCUGCAUGAACUUCUGAAGCAAUGGUUGAUGCGAUGGCUUCAAAAAUCCUGGCAUGGGAAGGAAAGAGGCAUUGAGUUCACAUAUGAUGGUGAUGAGAACCGAUCGAUACAAUGCUGGAAGAGGUGCGCAUCUUACUCUCAAGCGUGCUGAGAAAGCUUGCUCUUUGGUUAAUAAACUUCCAGGUAUACUCUGAUCAUAUAGCUUGUCAGCCUUAAUCUUGAAUUCGCAUUUAUGUGAGUUCAUUAAUUAGAAUUAUUUUAUUAGUAUCUAUAGGAUUAACUAAUUUGGCUGGUUUUCAUUGAAGUUAUGAUUCUUUAGUUUAUGAGUUUGCUCAAGAAGAAGCCAAAUAUAUUAUAUUAUAUAUAUAUAUCAUAAUAGUUAUAAUCUUUCUACUUUAUUAUUUCUGUUGAUUGCUUCCUUUUUGUGCCCACCUAUUGCUGUUGUUUCUUUACUUACUAGUUGCCAUUCCCCCGCAUACUUUUUGCUGGUAACUCAAAAUUUCUGUCCACGUGGUUUGUGUACGGCAAUGGUUGAUGCGUUGGCUUCAAAAAGAGGGAAAGGGGCAUUUAGUUGACAUAUGAAGGUCUAAGUACGCUCCCUAUUCUUCAAGGUGCUGGGUGUUUAAAUAGUUGGUCUUACUUGAUAACUUUUUUUUUUCCUUUUAAGAAAGAGAUGAAGAUCACCUGCCCAUGAGUGAUCCCCUUCCAAUUUUAUUAAAAAAAACCCUAACUUAUGGCGGAGGAAUACCGUGGUAACAAAAACAUCCCAAUUUCAAAUGCAAGACCUAGCCCCACAAACAUUAGCAUCUAUUGUAGGGGAAACCCCAACUAUCCAAACGUAAAAGACCUCUAAGUCUUCCUGUACCAAAAUAUUCUCCAAAAAAAUUUAGAGACCCACUAUUAGCACCAAGUUUAGCUAAAAAAUCAGCGACCAUAUUUGCUUUUCUAAACACCACUUUAAAGUGAACAUUAAGCUCCCUAAAUAGACAUUGAGCUUCCUCUCAAAAGUCCCAAAGGUUCCAAUAAUUACAAACACUUGCUAGAAACCAUCCCACUAUAACACUAGAAUCUGACUCUAUCACGAAGUUCCUCAACCCAAGUUGCUUGCAUAUUCGAAGGUCAUCAAUAACGGCUCGACUUUCCGCAAUAGUAUUCGUGGCUUGACCAUAGCAAUGAGCAAACCCACCCAAGACGCAACAAGUAUCAUCUCUAACAAUGAGCAAACCCACCCAAGACCAUAGCAAUGGCUAGACCAUAUUCGAAGGCCAUCAAUAACGGCUCGACUUAUCACAAGAAUCUCUAUCAACAUUAAGUUUCACCAUCCCAUUCUCCGGUAACUCCCACGCAUUAUAUCUAGGUGUUCUACUCUCCAAAGCCACCAUAGGACAAUUUAAAUUUGCUAAUAUCGAAGCAUCAUGGGGGCCUAAUCUUUUGAACUUCCUCACCAUGCCCGAAGAUUCUAAAAUAAAACCUUUUACCAUUCCAAUAACAUUCUUCCAAUCAAAAUUCAGCCCCUCCAUACGAGCUGCACAACGAGAUCUCAAAAGUGCCCAAGAAAUAAAGAUAGGAAUAACACCACGUAACCAACGUACUUGGAAAGAAUUCGAAGCAUGGCUCCACCAGGUAUUCAUCAACCCACCCCAAACCCAAAUAGAAGGCAAAUUUAUUUAUUCCAAAAAUAGCUGCAAAAUAAUUCCAAAGCUUCCUUGGAACCUCCCCCUCACAAAGAAUAUGAUCCACAAAUUCAGCUUGGGAAGAUAGACAACAAUGAAACUUCGAAACCAAUGGUAUACCAAGUUUCUUAAUUACCUCAUCCACCGGGAGAGCACUACGACGAGCACGCCAACGUAAGAAAGACAUCUUUUUAGGAACUGAAGCUUGCCAUAACCAUUUCUUCCAAGGACAGAUAGAACCAUGAGCUCUAACAAUAUUCCAAGCUGAUUUAGUAUUAAAUUUACCAUCUAUAGAAUGUAUCCAUACCAAAAAAUCAGGUCCCUCGUGAAUACGAACUUGUGAUAUUAAAAUCCUAUUCACAGUUUCCUCAUCGACCAGCUAUAUUAACAUCGAAACAUUACAAUCCGCCCCUUUGAAUAUAUCUCAGACCUGUGUUUCUCCAUCUCUCGCCACCAUUUUCCGAUUAGCAAUAACACCAUCACCGAGCCAAUUAUCAAACCAAAAACUGGAAGAGCCCUUGUGAACCAACCAUCUUGAGUUAAUUAACACCAAAGGUAGAGCCUGAAUAACCCCAUGCCAAAACCGAGAGCCCCUUGAUCCCUCAAUCACCGAGCUAAUCUGAGAGCUUC
Molecule: long non-coding RNA, 3111 nt
Organism: Carya illinoinensis
Lineage: Eukaryota; Viridiplantae; Streptophyta; Magnoliopsida; Fagales; Juglandaceae
Exons: 3
Source: RefSeq, a predicted model, not a curated record